RNAcentral lists this ribosomal RNA (274 nucleotides) under uncultured bacterium. Its description in RNAcentral is "partial 16S ribosomal RNA". It matches the Rfam family "Bacterial small subunit ribosomal RNA", at positions 523 to 796 of the family's 1533-position model. The record is from RNAcentral.
AUACGAAGGGGGCUAGCGUUGUUCGGAAUCACUGGGCGUAAAGCGCACGUAGGUGGACUAAUUAGUUGAGGGUGAAAUCCCGGGGCUUAACCUCGGAACUGCCUUCAAUACUGUUAGUCUUGAGUCCGAGAGAGGUGAGUGGAAUUCCUAGUGUAGAGGUGAAAUUCGUAGAUAUUAGGAAGAACACCAGUGGCGAAGGCGGCUCACUGGCUCGGUACUGACGCUGAGGUGCGAAAGCGUGGGGAGCAAACAGGAUUAGAUACCCUUGUAGUCC